This is a non-coding RNA of Pteropus alecto (black flying fox), 74 nucleotides long. Lineage: Eukaryota; Metazoa; Chordata; Mammalia; Chiroptera; Pteropodidae. The record is from Rfam.
GGCUCCAUAGUGUAGUGGUUAGCACGUCUGCUUUACACGCAGCAGGUCCUGGAUUCACACCCCAGGUGGAGCUA